UUUGUUCUGUAGACCAUAAAAGCAUCUGACACAAACAAACAAACAAAAAAACUGCUACAAAUGCAGUAUUUGUUACAUUGAAAGAAACUUUACAAACCUAACAUGAAAACAAACCCAAAAAUAAUAGUAAAUCAUAUUGUAUGCUCUUUUCCAUUGCUGCCUUUACAUGAUUUGAAACCUGAUGAAGAGCUUAUUUGCCUUAAAGCUUGUUUUUUACCAACUGUAUCAGUUAAUCUAAUAAAAGAUAAUGACUAUACAAACUCUCUCCUCACAUACAUUUCACAGAGUCUAGAUAGAGGGGAAAAAAUUAAGUUUGAAAACCCUACUUGUGCAGUCCCAUUGAAAGGACAACGAAUUUGUCUGGAUGCAAUAUGUAAUAAAUAACCCUAUGGGAAAAAAACAAAACAACAAAAAAAAAAAAGCAGAAACUCUCACAGCAUGUGCUUUACAAACUUGAAUAACUUGGACAUUUAAAUUGUUUUGUUUGGUCUCUUGCAUAUGGCAAAAUGGCCCAAUUGAUGCACUAAGUACCAUCAGUAUUUCAUUUUUAAGAAUUUAUCUGUUCUCCCUCCCCCUCCCCAUGAUGAUGGAGGAUAGGAUCAGUUUAGUAUCUGGAUCGCUGGCAGUGCACUUGAGUGCUGGUGAGUCAGCUAGAUGGGAAUGCUCCCUCUGAGUCAGUGCGGAGCCAGCCUCCCAGCAUGGUGCUUGGGGACACUCUGGUGCUUGAGCUGCAAUCAUUUAGAUCAGAGAAAACCAAAGCCCUGAACAGUUGCGGUCACUUGAGAUCAGAUGGAAAAAAACAGAGAGAUUAUGCCAGUAUCCUCAGCAAACUCAAAAGAAGACAAGAAUUGCACUAGGCCAGAUCUGCUCGCACUCUGCCAGGAAUCUUGGUGAGAUAGACUUGUUUGUUUUCUGCCAUUAAAUAGUCAAGCCUUUUUCGUUUACUUUUCUUUUUCCUUUUUCUUUCUUUCUUUCUUUCUUUCUUUCUUUCUUUCUUUCUUUCUUUCUUUCUUUCUUUCUUUCUUUCUUUCUUUCUUUCUUUCUUUCUUUCUUUCUUUCUUUCUUUCUUUCUUUCUUUCUUUCUUUCUUUCUUUCUUUCUUUCUUUCUUUCUUUUUCUUUUGGAAGAAACCGUGUGUGUAAAACUUGCUGUAUUUCACACCAGCAGUGGUUUCGUUUUAGUUCUACAGAAAAUGGUUCUGGUAUGGAUAAACUGUAGGAUUUCACAUGACAAGGAAUAAAUCAGUCCUAGCUGUGCUUUUGCAUUGAUUUCAAUGAAGUUUUGAGCAGUUCCAGAGUUUUAAAAGCAUCUAUAAAUCAUCUGAUAGAAAAUAAAAGAUAUUUAAUCACAAAUGAAUUCUUCUUUCAGAAACUAUAGGUUUUUUUUUUAUUCCCUAGCUUGCAAACUGUUUGGAUCAGGGACCUGAUUUUCAUUUUAUGUUCACCUUCUGUAUAGCACAGUUGUCUCCUCUGGGCUUUGGAAUUACCAUCUCAGCAAAGCUGUAAUAAGAGUGAUAACCCUGAUGACAAUUAUGUCCAUAAUAAUAAAUUCAACUCUUUCCAGUAAAUAAUAUGUACAAUUAUUACACUCAAUUUCUGUUUAUAAUUCAAGUAUUUUUAGUUUCCCUUAACAAAAGUUCAUGUCACUGACAAUGCAUCUAAUUAAGUACACUAAAAUGAACAUCUGCCGAAUCUCCAGCCAAAAGGAAAGCUCUGAUUCUCUCUUGCUUCAAGAACAAGAAGGACAUACUGACAAGAUUUUUCUAUUUUUCAUUCUAAAAUACACUAGCUCGUGUUGUAACCAUCAUCCCCUUCACUCACAUGGUUGCAUGGUUAGUUGACAAUUUAUUAGGGAUUCAUCAUGCGCACAUAAACCAUCUGACAAUCAGUUCAGCAAACACAACAUUAACUCUAAAAUUUCAAAUUGAUUCAAGGUGCACAGGUAAGGGAAAAAAGGGGAUGGUAUUCAAAGUAAAACAAAUAAACAUUUACUUUAGGACUGUAUCGAUAUUGAAGAGCACAUCUCCUAAUGUGUGAAGAUUGAAUGAAACUCUCCACAAAGUAUAUGUUGAGAUCUUGACCUGAGAACUCAUGUUACAGGAUAGAUCUCAAUGCAAAAUUGAAAGGAAUGAGUUCUCCACCCACCAACUCCAGCACUGCUGCUAGGCACUAUAAUAAUUAAUCGAGCCUUGAUAUUUCAUCAGCCUUUGAUUACAGUGGAACAUUUCACACAGAAAGUGAGACAAUGUUGCAACAAAGUUAGGAGAAAAAUUCACAUUUCAGCCAGCAAAGUUUAGGGAACUUUGACAUUUGAUUUCACUUAGUAGAGUGAAAAAUUGCAUUAGAGUAAAGAGGAACAUGCUACUUUGAGCGGGAGAGACACGGGUCAGCCAGCAUACUGUCCACUAAAUGUUUCAUAUAUUUAAUAGUUACUGUGAAAGAUAAGGGAGCAGAUUCUCAUUUUUACCAAGAUUUUGAUGCCUGCAGAUGAAGGAGACCUCUUUUUCCACAAACAUACAAACAGUAAUCCCAGCCACUCUGAACAGUGAGUCCUUGCCCAUGGAAUCCAAAGAUUGUUCCAAAUCUCUCAAGUUGGUCUAAGCCUCUAACAAAGUGUUGGACAGUUGAUCACUGGUAGAGCAGACACUGAAAUACAGCCCAUGACACUCAGUGACAUGUUUUGGAGUGAAAGCCUUGCCCAAGGUUAGCUGUGCCAGAGUGUGCUGCCAAGGCACCCUGGCGCUAUGGCUCAGGAGCCAGUGGAGAUCUGCUUUAUACUGCGAAAUGAAGAAUUAUAGAGUUCAUUUUUCUGACUUCCUAUAUUCACCUCAGUAUCACAUGGCUUUCCAGCAUCAAGCCCUUUCCUAGUUGAAAGUUUCUGACAAUGAUUUGAGUGUAAGCCUCAAGCAGUUUGGGAGAGGGUUGUGUGUGGGGAGGUCUUGGUAUGGACACAACAUUUAGAGUAUUUCACCAUUCUUCAAUUGCAUGAUCUUGGCAAGGAGGGGAGAAAAUUAAGUAUCAAGGGGAAAAACAAACUAACAAACAUACUUUACUAUUUUUGAUUCUGCAAAUUCUGUAUGUACUUAUAUGGAGAAAUCUAUUACCCUCAUAUAGCAAACAUUUUAUUCAGCAACAUGAUGUAAACAGAUAAUUUUGUCUUUUUUGCUAGGACUUUGGAUGAAAGAAUGUUUGGGGAGGGGGGGAACACUGGGAUGUGUGAAAUGUAAGAGAGGAAAUGUAAGAAGAGAGAAAUCAGAACAUGACGCAUAAUAAGGCUACAGAAAGAGCAGCUGAUAAAAAAAAAAGAUAAGCAGUAAAGAGGAAAUUAAAAGACAACAACUUAUCCUCUUGGAAUUAAUCAAGAAAUGAGAACAUGUAUGCCUGUAGUAACAUCUCCAUCUCCCAUUGGCAGUUCCUCCAAAAUCCAGGGUGUUCCCUGAAUCCUGGCUGACAUCCAGCUUGGGUAAUUAUAUUCUACUUACACAAAAUUCCCCUUGCAGUUUCAAUUGGACACGACUUUGCAUCCCAACAUUUUCUGCAGUGUGGUUAUGUGUGCUUCACAGCAGAGAUGGCUGCAUUUCAGUAGGGAGCAAAGUUAUCUUCCUAUAUAGCUCAUAUACUAUGUUAUAAAGCACCUGGGACCAUUCUGCAUCCAAUGUGCUCAACACAUUAUGUUAUCAGAAGUAUGCAAGUUAUUAGGAGAAAUAGUAUACAGUAAUCAUUUAUCUAUCAAGAUAAUAAAUUUUGUGUUAAGUAGGGUCUAAGCUAAAUCACAGCACCAUAGUAGUGCUCAGAUGGAAUUGAAUGGCACAGUUAUAAAAGUAAAUGAACAAGCCAGUAUGGCUACAGCUGGGAAAAGUAAAUCAAAGGCCCAGAUCCUCAGUGUAAGUAACAUGAAUUCAUAGAAGCUCAGCUAUUUACACCAGUGGGGAAUCUGCCUCAAAAAAACAGGCUGGCAAAGAGAGAAUGACCAUCCUUCCCAGUGUUUUAAUGUUUUCCCACCCAGCAGAAGCAAGCAGGCAUUUUUUAGCAGUGGUUGAAGACUCAUGGGAGGUUAUGAAGCCAGAAAAUAAGAGUAAGGGAAAAAUCACACAGACACACACAUAAAUUCAAGGGAAGAGCCAGUGCCAGCAGAAGAGAAAAGAGUGAUUCAGAAUGCAUCUAGGAUUGUAGCCACAGGUGAAAGAUCCAUAAGAGGGGAAACUGUGCUGUUGCCCAGUAGCUUGAAAUGAAAUCCGACUUCUUAUUAGUUUGGGAUAUUUAAAAAAAAAAUUUAUUUUAUGUUUAGAUCAAAAGGGCAUCGAGUAAUGCAAUCCAUGUGUUUACACAGAGAACAGCAUUAGUAUGGGGAUGCAUGGAAACCACAUGGGAAUAUCUGCUAAAUGAGACCAUGCCAAAAACAUCCAUUCAGCAGUCUUGCAAAACCCAUUGUAUGGAAGAGAGUUGACCACUGCAUAAUUCAACUGAGAGAAAGGCACUGAGUGACUGAGUGCAGCAGCUUGUGAGAGAGAGACAAGUUUGCUGUACUGGUCUAACGUGUUAAUUUCACAAUCAUUUCCACAUUCAGAAUUAGAUGAAGCAUGAUAGACUCCACAAUGAAAAGUAUGAGAUAAAAAUGAAAUCAAUUAGAGUAGACAAAACAGAGCAUUCAGCUUCCAGAAUUUCAGAAAAGCAUGCUUAAAAUAAGAAAAAAUAUAAGUUAAUAUUUGAUAAAUUAUUGUUUUAUUUAUCUUCCUUUUUGACUUACUGAACAGUCACUGGCUCUUAAUUUAUUACUUCUCAGAGUAAAAUGUAACACGAAAAGGACUGUAUAGUAAGAAACACAUUUUCUAGAGCAUGACUUUUCAGUUCAACACAGCUCAGUUGGAUCCACAAAGUAUUCUUGUGAGAGAGAGAGAUCCACUUAAUCCUUCAACCUUGGUGAGGUUAUACAAAUAAGGAAUUAUUGGGGCUGUGUGGAAUCUAGGAUUAUAGACACUGUUUCCAAAACCUCACGAAGACAGAGGUAAAAGAAGAAGCCAGGAUUUGGCUUCUUCUAAAGAGGAAAGAAUGUCAGUUGUGAAGGUGAAGAGUUUAGCUCCUGCUGUGUUUUGAUUGACCAGUUAGUACUGUUACAAACCUCAGAAGAUAGCAAGAAAAUAAAUGAGUCAACUGAAGUAAAUUAAAAGAGCUAAUAUCAGAGAGAGAAGAACACACUGGAUACAAUAAAAAAUUGAUAGAUUUAAAUGGGAAAAAAAAAACAGAAAAUGUAAUUUAUUUUAAAAUAGGAGGAACUUUUGAAGUAUAACAGCUGUAGAUAUUUCAAUACCUGAAAUAAAAAAUAACCUUUUCAGAAGCAACAAAGAUAAUUGGGAAUAAAGCUUAAGAAAAUGGGUCAAGGAAUAUUUUUAUUAUUAUUUUGCACAUACUGUGUGGUAUUUUGCUGAAUUACAGAACUGCAUAUCUGAAAAUCUAACUGAAGCACAAGAGACAAGAUUUAAUUCUUUAUUGCGGGUCUGCUAAUGCUCUUCAGAAUUAAGCUAAAUUACCCUGUCUUUGAAGCCUCAUAUUCUUGACAAAUAUCUAAGACUUUUUGAUCUUUACCAUGUAUUUCACGCUGGUCCACAGUGAACUUUGCAAAAAAUUAGCUUUUGAUUUUGUCCCUUGCAUUUUGUCAACUGGAUUCUUGUAAGCUUUGGUUUAGCAACUUUAAAUCUCUGCUUCACAGAGGCUAAUUAAAUUAAAUCAACUGAGUGAAAAGGCAGCCUCUCAGGUCUGCAGUAGAACAAGAGGCAAUCCCAUAGGGAUGAAGAAGGGUAACACAGCAGCAUGUGAGCUUCUCCCCUUCCCCCUUCUUCUUUGUGAAAGCUGUCCUAGGCACUGUCCAGGAGACUGUGAGCUGAAACUGGCGUCUACCGUCAUCUAACACUGGGCACAAGAAAAUAAGCCAAAGAGACAACAGAAGGAGAAGAGAAGUGCCAAUGUCCUCACUAUUUUGGCGCCAAGUGGAAAUAAACUCUACAUUACUAAUUUGUUUGAUUAAGGACACAUGACUUUUCUCCAUACACUUGUGACUGGUGAGAAAGCUGCUGGAAUAUGGCUUUUGAAAUCUUGUAUGCCAUUGAUUGCAGCUCACACACUAUGGGCAGAAACUACUGUGUUAUCCCCUGAUUAAUAGAAUGGCCUCACUAUAGGAAAAUCUGUAAAGCUGAAAAAGCUUAAGGUAAUUUCUACUGGUACAUGACACAGGCUUGCAAUCAGCUGGCGUAAUUUGGUGCCAUAGUUGUUAUCCUAUCAGGUACAGGUGCAAGUUUAGAAAUCUUACCUCCACGGGAAUGUUCUUUCAUACUGCAAUACAAACUCAUUGAUUAACAAAGUUUAAGUGACCAAAACAGUAUUCAAAAUUGAAACUGGAAAUUAUUUCACUGUACUGUAUAAAAUGGCAGUAACCUUUCCUUUCCACAUUUGAUGUGGUCUUCUGCUAAGUGAGUGACAAUCUGGUUGCACAAAGCUCAAAUCAGGGGACAAAUCUGCUAGGAGAGGCAACACCUGUUAUUUAACUGGUUAAUAACACUGUGGGCCAGAGGGGAGAUGAAAAACAAAUGCUUUCAAGCACACAAGCUCUUCAGAAAUAAAUCUCAUGUCCUUACACUCCUUAAACUCAAUGGGAAUUUUACCAUUGACUCAUUCAUCUCCCAUGAUAUUUAAAUUGCAAAUCGUGAGGAUGUAAGAUCCAUCCUAAAGGAAGGGAAAUUGCCUACCAUUAAAGAAAUGACAGAGUUGUUCUAAAUAAAGCCUGGAGUGCUGGAGCAUCAUGACCCAAUGUAGGUGUAGAGUUCAGAGAAGGCAAGUCACAACACUUUUGUGCAGUGGUUUACCCACCUGUUAAACGGGUCUAACAGUAAACCUCAGGAAAAUAGAGAUGAUUAAUUAAUGUGUCUGAUGUUCUCCAAGAUUCCAGAGAGGAGAAAGAAUACACUGCAAAAUAUUACUCUGAUUUUUUGUCAUUUUGGUGAUCCAUCAUCCUGCAGCACUGUGGGGACAGGAACUACUGCUUGAUUCAGCAGGCAGACACAUGCAAAAGCUGUUGAGAUUUGCCUUUGUUGUGGGCUGUCAAAUGUGUUUUUAUUUUUAUUUAAUUAUUGUCCUUUAUUGGGAGUGAGUUUCAAUUCACAGUGUUUUCUUGGGCCAUCAGAUUAUGAGGUGGUACCGAGGGAAGUGCUGCAAAGUAGGUCAGGUACCACAAAUGCAACCAGACAAGUCACUCAGGGGAAGAUAGCUAUUUCAAAUAAGACAGAGACUACAGCCUGGAAGACAAUGAUUAAAGCUUAGAAACCUUUUCUGAAGCUACUGCAUGAUAGCCCUGGAUGACUACAGAUAAAAAGUCAGAUAAAGCUGUUUUACUAUCAGCUUUCAGUCGUGCUAAAAUCCUGAUUCUGUCAACCUUACACUGAGGACUAUACCUUGCCUGGCAAGGGGACCCAUUUCCUGUGUUCACACAGAAUAAUUGAGAUAUGAACCUACACACUUGAGUAGUACUGUCUACAUUGAAUAAACUUUGCUAGGACAUUUGAAUUUUUAUCCAAAUUGAGACCAUUUGUUGAAUCUUUUGGAGGUCUAAAACAGGUGGGGCUUAAAAACUUGUCAACUGCCCUAGGUAUUGAAAUAUAUGUCUAUCACAAGAUGCCUUCAAUAUUUAUUGAACUCAAGAUAUCUUCCCUCACUUAUAAAUGGAAAAUAAGUAUUUCAGAGAUGCUUACAUAUGUAGGUCACUCCAACAGUAAUGCCUCCUAUUUCUUUUCAUAGAAACUGCAACGGAUGCAAAAAGCACAAUAACACUGUUUGACAGAGCAAAUGCUCAGCUACAAAACACUACUUUUCAGCAUGGUCACAACCAUUAGAUAUGCAUUUCCACCAGCAAUGAACAAGAGCCUGUAUGCCACGCUAGCAGAAAUCUGCACCCACCCACUGUUGAUGUUGACACUGCUGAAAUGCACCAUCCACCACCUCACAGUGCUCACGUCCAAUCUUUGGUCUCUAUAAAUGUUCAGCAAGCAUCAGUGAAUGUCCAUGGGUCAUUAUUUUCUCAUAGAGGAAUUCAGUGACACACCUUCAAUCCAUACACACUCCCACGUCAGACGCCAUUUUGUCAGACUGCCCCUCUGCUGCCAUCUGUUGCACAGCAACAAAAUGUAGGGGAAUACAGUCAGGAAGAUUCAAUCUCUACUGUCAAACCACCAACAAUCACAUCUGAUAUUGUAGGUCAACAUGAUAAAAUAGGAGGCAUUACUCUUAGAGUAGCCCUAUAUGUUUAUAGCCCGUAUAUGUUUAUUUUAUCUAAAUCUGUUUUCAUCUGCCUAGCUUCUCAUUUAGCUGUAGUAAUAGCUUCCUAGUCCAGCCUCGUCAAAUUAUGUAAUCAUUGUUCAUCUUUAGCUGCACUUUUCCUUAUUCUAUUACAUUGGUCUGAAAAAGACUGAAUUUCAUGAGCUUCCUAACUCUAUUGCUGAGCUUAUGACUGCUUCAGUUUUUGUCUGUUCUUUAGGACUAAUGCUUUUCUAAUAUAUUUUCUUUGUUCUAGAAUGAGAAAGCAGAAAAUAAGCUAAGUCUGUUUUUUUCUGUCAUUUUUGUUUUUGUUUUUGUUAUUUUGAUUUGAUUUGGUUUCAUUUUCCUCAGUAAAAUUUUUGAUUGAGAUAUCAAACUGUUUCUGAUGUUGACUUCUGACAAAACCAAUUCUAUCAGCAGUACCUCAGUAUGCCAUAUAGUCCUACCACUCUUUUCCUUCACCACCUUGUGCAUGUUUCAUGUUCCUGGGCGGGCAAGCCUUGAAAGAAUGCUGUUACACAGCUCUUGUUUAGUGUUUAGAUCUUUAAUAUUUAGAUCUUUAAAGCAUUUUGUGUCUAUGCCUAGCAGGAUUUGUGCCAGUUCUCCAACAAUGUAGUUGAAUCAGUAACUUGGAACCUAUUCCAUGAUAGUGGGUCCAGCAGUCUGCUCUGGGUAUGGAUCUUAUGAGUCCUGCAGCCUGCAGGCCUCUUUGCCAAACAAUGAUAUAAUCAGUGAGCUGCCAGCUCUUGGAUCAAGGAUGUAUCCAAGAUAUUUUAGGCUUAUCCAAUUACUGAAUAAUUGUGUUUGCAAUAACCAGCUUGUGUUCAGCACAUUUGGUUAUUAGAAGAAAGAUGAUUGCUGCUGACUCUCUCAGUGCCAGUACAGCCAGCAAAACUCCACUUUAUUAUGUCUCCACCAAGCUUAAAGAAGUUACCUCUGAGUGUCAAUUUUUCUGCCUGUGGUGUCACUACAAUGAUAUCCUGCAACCCACUCCUAAGCAGUUCAUUCACACUGCUCUCCUCCAGUGGAGUUAGCAUACAGGCAUUGAGAAUAUUGGCAGGAUGCCUCCAGUUUCCUCUCUUCUCCUCGCUUACACAAAUACAGAGCCCUCAAUGAUAAUCCUUAACUUUACAACCAACACUUGAAGCCAAGCCACCCAGUGAGCCAGGAGAAUGUGGAACUAUUCUGAAGCACUGAUGGGUAUCACUGUGCUCCUGCAGGCCCCUGUCCCUCCAGCGGGUAGAAACUCAGUUUACAUCCUCCUGGAAGGAACUGUUUUGGAUCUUGAACAAGUCUAAUGGGGAGUGAAUAGGCAGCUUCAAGGGUCCUGACAAAGUGUGCAAGUGACAAAUGAAAGGAAGAUGUUCAUUUAUACACACUAUGUGUGAUCUUCUCUAGGGCUGGGGUAUGAAUUUUGCUCUUGACCACAGUCUUCCUUCUACUUUUGUUAAGCUGUUCCAAAAAGCAGGCCCUUGGAGAAGUGUUCAGCACUAUAGGAACUCUGGAUUUACGUUGGAUGCUUUUUAAAAGAGUGGCAGAGGACAUCACGUCAGUGAGAUUUCACCAAUUCAAGGAAAAACCUUGAAAACUCUAAUCAAGUCUGUCCCAUAUUCAUGCAACAGUAAAGACAAAAGGAUGUAAGUGCAUCAAAGUCUGUUUUUGAGUCUGACUGUAAAGAAUAAGUUAUUAUUCUUUGGAUUAUUUUUUUUUACAUUUCAAUGUUAUUUGUUGGCUCACAGAUAUUUCUUUUUCUUUCUCACACCUCAUACUUUGGCAUGACAACCUCUAAGCAAAUGCUACCAAGAUUACAUUAGGAAACCUCACUCAACAAUGCAGGUACAGUAAAAGAAAAAUGAAAAUGAAAACAAAAAAAAACUCAGGAGAGAAAAAAAAAAAAAAUACCAACAAACAUGACAGAACCGCUUUGUUUCCCAAAUUAUCAUCAGGCUGUCCAGACAUGGAGAAGCAGUGAACAGCUAUCACAGUGUGGAUAAUAUAGAGAAGUGCUUCCAGGAACAAUGGGAGCAGCCUCCCGUAUGCAGAAUGGGAGCUGUCAGUGGGAAUUAGUGUCCCACAGAUCCUCCCCAUCUCCCAGUGACGGAUCCAGAAGGUGUGCUUGUGGGGUCAGGUGGGAAGGCAAAGCACUGAAGGUUGCAACACAUCCAGUGUAUAGAGAGUAUUAUCAAAUUACUUUGUCAUCUUUAACAGCCCUGCAGGGACUGCAGUGGAAUCUCAGUCCCUUUUUUAAUGAAUGGAAGUUUUACCCCGAAUAGUAAGAGCAAGAUAAAUACUUUUAGCUGUUUUACUUAGCUCAUUUUUUCUUUUCCUCCCUUUUUUUUUUUUCCUUUAAUUUUAAAUAAUUACUGUUUUAAAGCCAGCCAAGGCACAUAGGGUUAAAGAUGUAAAAUCUCAGCAUGGUGCAAUAAAGCUGAUACUGAAAUAGUGUAUCCCUACUGUAGGAGGAAUCUGCAAUCAGGACUUCCAAGCACAUGCAAAAAAUAACUCUUGGAUCAGUCUUCUUGUCUUCCAGUAGACUUGGCAAGAAAGGCAAGCCAUAUGUGAAGCCAGCCAUAUAUCAGUUAUGUGGUCUUAGAUAUUUGCAAUAAAACAAAGGACUUUGCUGUCAGCCCUUCCUGAUUUCAUGAAGCCUUUACAGCUCACAGUAAUGUCUCUUUAUCAAAACCCACAAAGUUAUCCUUAGACAUGUGCAUUUCUUAGGGAAAAUAUUCUCUGAAAUAGCUAUUUAUGAUUAAAUCCAUCAGGGAAAGGGGAAGACAUGAAAGGACUUAAUACAGCCAGUUUCAGCCAUGCUGAAUGCAUCUAGGAAUAACAAACGAGUGUAAAAACAAUUAAAAAUAAAAUAAGUAAGACUGGGGGAAGGGAAGAGGGUAGAAGAAUUAAAAUAGACAUACACAAAACAAUAUGAUCAAGAAUGAAAUCUUUGUGACAGUGAUGUGGAUGCCCUGGUAAAUUAAGUGGAACUAAAACUUCACACCAGAAUUGCUCCUGGCCAUUUAUUUAGGCAGUAUUAGCCAGCAGUUUCAUGCAGGGAUCGUGCUAGGAGUGGGUUCAAGGAAAAAAUUUUGUAAGGGUGUUUUUCCCAGCCAAUGUGAGGUGGAUGGUCUGCACACAGGGAACAAGAAAGAUGGCUGAGAAUAGUUCAGAGUGAGCCACGAAGAGAGGUCAGGAGCUAAUGAAAAGUUAGCCCCCGGACCUGCAAAACCACGGGGAUGUGAACAGCCCUAUGCGUGUGAUUGCUCAGUUAUGUGAAGUUCACUGCGUGCUCAAGCUCAGGGUAAGAACUUGUUUGAUUUGAUGUAGUAGUGAGAGGAGUCAGGGGCGGGAUUUGAAAAGUGACGUGAUUGCAGCAGUGCUUUUCUGAAACAACUUUACAGAAAAAAUUCGGAGAGUGCAUUCCUUACAAAACUGAUAAGGUGUUACUAUAGAACUGCAGUAAUGACUUUGGCAAACAGUUUGUGCAAAUUUCUAGACUAUAAUUGCAAAUGUGGAUUUUUAAUCAAAUAUUAUUAACUAUUACAUAAUGAAAAGAAAUAAAAUCCCAAUAGACAGAUUAGCAUUUUUACUCUCUUUAAAAAACCUGUUUUACAAUGUUCCUUUGAGCCAUAUCCUAAGUUUUAAAAGCAUUUGGGUUUUCUAGAUCAGAUUCUGCAAGGCUCUUGGGCUAACUUUAAGUAUGUGAUUUGUCUAAUUGGAAUUAGCAGCUUGCAACCACGUAUGUUCCUAAGGAUCUUGCCAUGUCAUGCAGGUUUUCUUUUUUUUUUUUUUUCCUACCUUAAAACCCAAUCAAACAAACAAAAACCAUAGUUAAAAUCGACUCCUGUCCCACCUCUUUUUGUUUAUUUAUUUAUUUUAAAUUCCCCUAUGUUAAAUCUUCACAAAAUCUUUCUUAUCACCUCGUGGAUUAAUUGCCAGUGAAAUAUUUGCUUUGGAAUGAGUAUCUCUUACUAAUGUGUCCUGCUCAGUGUUUAUGACUUAUAACUAUUCAGGGCAACAUACUAUAUUAUACAAAUAUUUGAAGCAAUCACAAGGGGGGCAAUGCUUUAACAUAAUCCUUCACUCACAAGUUGCCCUUGCAGCCCUUUUCAGUUACUUUUCAUUAUUUCACCACAGGGGAACAGUCUCAAUAAAUUAUUGUAUUAACAAUUACAUUAAAAAUGAGCCCUGGAACCCCUUUCUCUACCCCAGUAAAUGUCAUUUAACAGUUUUUGGUGUGGAAAUAUGCAACAGAUAAGUCAAGUGGGUUUUUCUUCUACUUCUUACAGAGGUAUGAAAAUAUCAGUAGAUGCUCAGAUCUCCGCUACUCAAAACAUUACGGGUCAGAUCCGAGCAGAGUGGAGAGGUCAGUGCUCCAUCAUCACAGCUUUAUAUCAUUAUGGGCUUUAGGGCAUAAUAGCCUGCAAGGAUGCUUGGUUAAAAGAUGGGAAGGAAACCUGAAAAAGGUUAAUUACGGCACGCACAGCACUUGACAGUUCCUUUUCAAUCUGAUUCAGCUCAGCUGUGAAUGCCACUGUGUCUUCUGCACAAAGAUCCCGCUCGCUGCUAUGCCACUUGCUGUCACCCCAAGGCAGUUGCGUGGUUUGCCCACAAGGACAGAUCCCAACCCCAAACACUGCAUGUUUUCCAAAGGGUGCACCUGCUUUGCUGUGGAUUUGGUGCUUAGAGCUUGCUGUCUGAAGCCUUAACACCCAGAAACUUGUUUUGACAGUUUGGGUUAUGUUCGUUAGGGAAUCCAAGGAGGGAAUAUCUCUGGAGGGGGCAGGGAGGAGAGGGAAAGAAGCACAAACAAAACAAAAACUUAAGCCUGUGACUAAUUGGCUGAAAGGAUGUGAGCAAUUCGGCUCCACUUAAUUGAAUGUGGGCUCAAAUUAAAAAGAAAGAGUAAUUGCCUUCAAAACUUUGCAUUGUAGAUUGCUGGUGAAAGGCUUAGAAGGUGAAAGCCUUAAAGCACAUGUGUCAGUGAUGUUGUUGACAGGAACCCAAAUAUCCUGUUAUAUGCAUCUGCAUUCAGAGGACUUCAUUCUAGAAGGGAUUAGCCUACAUUAUAUUGAUGGUUUUAUUUACAAGAUGAAUUUUCAUUAAAAAGGUACCCUGAUUUUUGCUAGAAAUUUCAGAAUGUGACCAUGCCUUCUAACUGCUAGCUGCCUUCUAAACAUUUCCUGAUCAGAGAACCUGAAAAUAGCUCUUCAGAUUUCAAAGUAAAUAUAAAGAAUCUCUGCAUUUGGUUACAAAUCCGCAUAUUCUUAUUCAUUUGUUCCUUCAAAUUUAGGGAGAACUUCAUCUGAGCAAAGGGAUAGUUGUGUUAAACACAAAUAACCAGGGAGUAGGGAGUCAAGGAAUUUACCUUGAAAGUACAAAUCUGAGUUAUGAGACCUUUUUAAAUAAAAAUCAGGAAUUAACUCAUGCGGUCUGUACAUUGCCAUUUAUUCUUUACAUCAAAGCUGCAUCCACAAGUUCUAGCCCCAUUGUGCUAUGCACAAAGACACAGAACAAAAGAAAUGUCCUACCUCUCAAAAUAAUUCUCUGCAAGAGUAACAAAGACCCUUUGUUUGCUAUUUAAGCAAGAUUGGUGGACAUCAUCUUUAAGAAGAAGCUCUGAGAAUCAACCUUUUCUGUCCUUUUCCAAAUAUGCAUAUGCACAUUUUUUGUGAGUCUGCUACAGUAAAAAGGCUCCUAAAGGAAAGAAUGGAGCAGAGCAAAAGGAAAAUAUUACUUUAUAUUAAUAACAAAUGGAGUGCACAACGCAUUCCACAUACAAAGGUUACCCAUCUACAGAGAUGGAAGCCAAGGGCAUUUUAAAACUUAAAGAUCCUUUAAAUAAACAUAUUGGUUUAAGUAGGAAGCAAAUAUUCUUAGCUCAGCAGGUAGUUGGUAUCUAAAUCACAUUCAGACUUCACAUAAAUACACAUGUCAAAGCAUUUAUCUAGUAAUAAAAAAAACAACUCUUAAGGAAUGCAGUUCAGAUAGGGAAGUGUCAGGUAUUUUGCACAUUUCCUAUUUCCAGCUCAUUAGUUUCAGCUUUUGACAGGGGUGGAGCUGAAAGAGGGGGUCAGAAAUCCUGUGGAGGUUUUUCUCUCCUCCCAAUUUCACAUGAAUAAACAGAGGGAGGGAGUCCCCUGCCUGUCUGCCAGGCUCUUAUCUAUCAUAUUUAGAUGCUAGAUGCUGUCAGAUACUAGAUAGCAAUGCCUGUAGGUAUUGCCAGUUACUGGGAAAUUAAACCUGGAACAGAAGAUACUCCUUUUCAUUCCCAAACUGACCUUAUGAUAUGAGUAGGUUUCAACAUCCUUCAAAAAACACUGAUGUCCAGACAAAGGUGGCAUUAUUAUAUUUUCAUCAUUUGCUACUCACACCUGAUUAUUAUUAUUUUUUUUCUCAUGUUGUCCACAAGUCUCUUACCAGCACCUUAUCUGUACCUUUUCUUUUGCCUACAUUAAUGUGUUCCUCUCAAAUCCAGGUUCUCUCACUCCGGAAGUUGUGGGUUUAGUACUGCACUGCUGGUUUUAAUUUGAACUUUCCUGAGUAUUAGGGAUUAUCAGAAAUACCUUGUUUUCAAAAAUAAAAUAGAAAGUGAAAAAAUAUACCUAGUUUUCCUUUAUUUCCCUAAAAAACAUUUCAGAAAAUGACAAUGCUUCCCUAGAGAGCGUUACUGUAAGAGGGACUUCGAUCUAAUUCGUGGAAUAUGUGCCUAUGAUCACUAACAGUCAAGUUAGCAAUUACCACCCUUGUGCAAGAAGAUACACACUGUAAGCCAAGAUAAGAUAUCCACACAAGCACACUGUCCCUACUAGCAGUAGAACAAACCUAGCCAGCACAAACUGCAAUAUAAAUGCUUUCAUGCAUUCAGCUGCUCUUUCAUCUGAAGGCUGAUAAAUUCCAGCUGAUGGAAGUUAACUUCUUAAGACACUGUUGGAGCAUCCCUUGGUUUGUUGUUGGUAGGAUAUAAAUUAAUAUUGAUAUUUAAGGUACUUUGUUUACAGAGAGGAAAGCCAGCAAUAUGGCCUAACUUUUGACUGAGUGAGGUCUCAGAGGUUACUUUGCACUGGCAUGAUCAUCCACACCUUUGGAUUACUUUUUGAAAAAUCUUUGUGGAUCAUGAGAUGCUUCUACUGUGAUAUGAAAAGAAAAUGACUGGCUUUGAUUUGAUGGUCAGGUGGAAUUUCAGUUUGGUUCCUAUCACCUCUCAGACUUGCUUAGAUGAUUCUGUUCCUAAAGUCUGUAUGGGUGUCAGGAAGAACAAUUAUGACUUGUUUUAAAGCUGUUCUGUUAGGGUCACAGGUGAAGUAAAAGACCCAUAACAUUUACCAAUAAUCAUUAGGACAGAGCAUAAGUAUUCACUUUGAAUUAACUUGUAAGCUAGAAGCAUUAACAAAGGCUGCAGGAAGUAUAAUUCUGGGAGGCUCAAAUCUGAAAUUUAUUUUGUCGCACUGUCAUAAAGGGGGUGCAACUUCUUUAAUGGAUUUGAGCCGUUACUAAAUGCAGUAGAGAACCAUAGGAUUCAGUGGACUUCACACAGCCAGGAGUUCAGAGUCUGCCCACUGUGGCUGGUGAGCUAUUUCAGAUGUCUGUUUCUAGCAGAAAUAGACCCGAAAGUGGGUUUACUCUCAAAGAAGAAAAAAGUAGGGUGAUGUAAAUUUCUCUUAAUUUGAGACUACAUUAUGGCCUGCUGCUGCUCAGUCAAAGAAGAUCAAAAAAAAAAAAAAAAAAAAAAAAAAAAUAGUUGCCUUUCUUGCUCUGAGUUUCUAACUGUCCUGCUCAGAUUGUGAAGCUAACAGUAGCUAAUAAAGGAGUAAGUGAACCAAACAUGAAUAACAUUUAGUUUAAAACCUAUCAGAUGGCAGAUGGGCCAUGUCUCAUAGGUGUCGUGGAGACAGUUCAGUGGAGAAGAUGCUGACCUAAUGGUGGCAAGAAUAUACUCCUGCCACUGCUGAUCAUUUUUCAUGGAUUCCCAGUUGGUUGUUUGAUAUGCAACUCCAAAAUUUAUUGUUUUUCUCCUUUUUCUUUCCUUUCUGUCAGCCAAUAAAGAGAAACCAUAACAUCAGCAGUGUUUGAAAACAUAUUUAUGUUUGUUUCCCCUAUAAAAAGAGAUAAUAAUGUUAUGUUCCAAUAAUAUUAAGUUGCAAUGUUAUUUGCAAGAUUGCAGAGCUUUUAAUUUUCUGAUUAUUUCCACAGUGGGAGUUUCAGCUCAAUUUCUACUAAGACAUUUCUAUCUGUUUUGGUUAUUUUUUUAUUACAGCUAGAAGCAACAAUAAUUGCCUUUAGUGUAUGAAAACAUGACUGAGGAGACAAUUGUCGUCCCUAAAGACUAAAAUCAUCAGCAUACAUUUUUGAUGUAAAAUUUUUGUAAAUUAAUUGCAAGGUCCUAUAAAUAUUAUAUUUACUAAAAUUGUGUUGUCUGCUGUCUUCAAAGAAAUAAUCUUUUCCUUUUUCUUUCUCUCUCUUUUUUUUUUUAACUAUGUUUCGUAUGCAGUACAUUUCCUGAGGCAGAAAACAAAAACAUGGAACAAAAUAUUAGCCUUUUACUUUUGUAGUUUUACAUUCUACUAUUUCUCUUUUUGAACUCUGGGGUUUCUUUUUAAUAUAGAGAAAAAGAUCAGUAACACUGUCAUUAAUCAUGACCAAUUUUCAGUUUCUCACUGUUCAGUUGAUCAAAAAAUUGAAUAUCCAUCCCAAAUAAUAAGGCAGUAUUCUUGCAUUUGAUUUUCUCACAGACCAGGAAAAUAAAUUCAAAAUGUCAAACGUUUUGUAGAAUAUCUUUUUCUGCAAUUCCUAUUCAGAAACAAUAAAAUGAAAUCUUUUAGAUGUCUCAUAAUGAAAGUGCUCCCACCCAGUUACAUCCUGGGAGAAAUUAUCUAUCACGACUUAUAAAGGAAAUAUCGUCUGCAACCACCCAUAGAGGAACCUGACAGACUGUCAAAGACCUGGAACUACAGUUGUCAAAAGUCCCUGAGAUAACUUGGGUAGAUGCCAAGAUUAAUAAGCCUAAUUAAAAUUACACUACUUUAUUUCCAUUUUUUCCUUGUAGAAUAAUAAACCACAGUCAGCCUAGAUUUUGUUUUUUAAAGAUCUAUUUUUUUACCUGGCUGUGUUAACAUCUCUCCAGUUGCAUUAUCUCACAGUCUGGUAUGUCCUGUGCAACCCAGAUGUAUAGUUGUUUCACAAGAUUUAUGAGUACAUGGCAAAGUUCUCAAGACAAACAGAUUAUGUCCUUUCCGAAUAGCUGUGUUUGACUGCAGGAGCUACAGAGUAUUUUGGAUAAAUGUGCUCAGCAGGCCUUUCUUUGAAGGAGACAGAUAGUGUAACAGCUAAUAUCAAGAACAGUGAUUAGCACCAAUAGAUUUUAGCAGAUUUACUCCAGUCAUAAUGGUAGCCCUUAAACUUGAGGAGGCAGUGCACUGGACUUACAUUAACUCUAGCAAAUUUGCUCCUAGAAAAGCAGUGGAAAACCUAGGGAAGAUUCUUACUAAUAAAGCACACUUUCAUAAGAAAAUCUGCUCUCCAAGGAAGAUCAGGGACAAGAUUAUACAGACAACCAGGACAAAAAUCAGUAGACAAGAAAAACUUCAGAAAUACUUAGUCUGUGGUUACUGUCUAAGAAUUAACUAUUUUUUUAUUUUUUAUUUUUUUGUUAAGACAGAUAUCAGGUCACUUUUUGAGACCAAUCACAGCUGCAGCUAUACCUGGAGUAGGACCUUGCUUUGGUUCUUCAUGAUUGCUAUAUCUAAAGUACAGCAGGAUGCAGCCAGAUAUGUCAAACUGCCCUUGUUUUCAACCAGGUAUUAGAUUCACAACUUCCUAAUGUAAAGAAAAAAAAAAAUUAUCUGUACUUUUGAAGACUGAAUUCAUCUCCAGGUAAUACAAAUGAGAAACGGUGCUCUUCCCCACAGUAAUAGGAUUGCAAUCAAGCUCUCAAUGUGAUUUACAAACUCUGUAGUGUUAACCAAUUACUUGCUGGUCAGCCAAUAACAAUGACUGAAUCAUCUUUUGCUUCAGAAAAGGAUCACUGCGCACAAGUUGGAGAAUCUCACAGCACUGCCUUCAAACCAUUCCUACUAAAUAAGACACUGCACUUCUCUGUCGAUAGAUACUAUAUGGUAUUUUAGCCCAAGAAACUUAUGUCAGGAUCUAUAAAAACAACUGGGAACAUGCAGAAUAAUUGAAUCUUAAAUGAUUGUGUAUAAUGUGUCUGCAUUUAUAUUUCAGCAUUUAAAUGCGUUUCAAUACUUUGGUGUGUGAAAGGGUUAAACAAUAACAGAUUUCCUGUGCUAAACAGCUUAAUGAAAAACAUUCAGGGUGCUUUUUUAGAACAACAGACUCAUACUGCAAAAUGAUAAUCUUUGGUAUGUCCUUUUUUUUUUUCUUUUUCACAAGUAACAAUAUAGGCGAGACAGACUUUGCUAUAAUUCUUCCUAAUUGCUCUAAUGCAUUUCAUUUUAUUUUAGUGUUUUCAGUUUAUAAAAACAGUUAGCAUCAGUUUGUUUCCAGUUUUAAUGGAGAUAAACUCCUUCUUUUCCCCCUGAAAAAAUUCACAAUAUGGUUGGAAAUGUCAGCAAUAAUUAGACAAAAUGCUUGUGAAACAUAAAAUAAAAACAAUACGUCUUUUUAUAAUGGAAUCAGUUUGUCUGAUUAUCUCAAACAAUGUACAUUUCCAACUGCCCAGGAGGGUCAUUAGAGCUUAUGAAAAUCAAAGUCUGCUUUUUCUGCUUCAGACAUCAUGGACAACAAUAUUGUCUCCAGGAUCAUUAUAAAUAUAUGUUAGACUUUCUUGAACUACAGUGAACCUGAAGCAUGAAAUGCAUUUAAAGAUAAAAACAUCAGGGGGAAAAAAAAAGAAAAAAUGAAAAACAAAACAAAAAAGCAAACAAAUAAAUCCACUUUGUGUUAUUAACUAAAUAAGUGUUACAUAGAAAUUAUAGUUGGAUACAUAACCUCGCUGAAUACAGUACUCAAGGGACCUUGGUUCUAUUCUGUCAUCAGUCACAGAUUUCCAGUAUAACCUCAGAAAAGUCAUUUCCUACCCUAUGCACAAUGAGGGCUAUUUGUCCCUUAAAGAGAUGGUUGUGACAGAGCUCCCUUCUGAGUUCCUGUCUAGGUGUGAAGUCUAAUUCAAGAAGUUUCUGUUAUUCCUUUGAGAUACACUCAGAGAAUAGACAAGAGUAUCACUUCUACCUUUUUUCCCAUUUGUAGAAAUGGGGCUAAUAUUCUCUUGCUCUCACUGGAGAGUUUAUGGAUACAAUCCAUUAGUGUGUGAGAGGCAUUCAGAUACCAUGAUGACAAGGACCAUUUAGCAAGUAAAUAUCUGGAUGGAGUAGGAGGAAUUCAGCUGCUGUUACCACAUUACAUUACAAAUAGUUUAGGACAAAAGACAAACGGGAAGUCUGAUAAGUUUAUCGUAUGAUCAGUUAUAGUCAUACAACAAUUCUGCACUCAAGGAACCUGGAAAGCUGUUUCAAAAAUGAAGUUUCCACCUGUUUAGUUUGUUUACCAAUAAGUGUGGCAGUAUGCCUAUUCUGCCCAGUGGUUUAAGCACUUUUCUCCUGCUCAUACAUGCUGGGUUUUCAGUCUUCAAUUGCAUCUUUCAGAUUCAGCAGCAGUGUCACACGGCAAGAUGGAAUUCUAGGGAUGCUGCUGCGUUGUUUUGGAUGGGAUCCUACUAUAUCAGCUGCCAAAGUGCCCAAGGAAAAACUGAAACUUACAGGAAAAUUAUAGCGACAUGAAGAAAUUUCAUUAAAAGUGACAUGUUCUAAACCUUUUAGAAAUACAAAAAUCUGUUGAAGAUCCCAAGAUGUGUGUAGAAAAUGUGGGUAAGAAAAGAAAAUGCAUUACUAAACUAAUCUAAAACCAAAGCAGGUAUUUCUCUGCUAUAGUAUUGCUACACAUAUGCUCUUGUUAGUACAAGCAAAUGCUUACCAAUAAUGAACAAUCUCUGUUGGUUGCAAUGCUCAAGCACAAAUUAAACAAUGCUAAAAACUAUUAUUAAAGCACAUGAAGGAAUUAAUACAUAAAAUCCUUCUGCUACUUCAAAUUCACAGCAAAGCGAUUCCUCUCAGCUAAGCCAUCAGUACAAUGUACAGAAGCCUAUUUUUAGGAAUGGUUAAGGGAACAUACUUUCCAUGGAUCUCCAUGUAUUUCAAGCCUACUAAGGGUACAACCCAUCCUAUCAGAGUAGGUUUAUUUGGAGGAGGAGGACAAGGAUCCCUGCUCACACUGCCUCCCAUGGCAUGAGAAAUGAGAAUAUUCUCGACAUCCCAGUAGCAAUAGGAGUAGAUAUGAUCCACUGUAAAAUCCUGUGAGCUUCAUUAUCAGUUUCAGAUGAGGGUUCUGUUUGUAAUUAGCAGAAACCAAACCAAUGAAGUAGUAUUUGGUUUUCUUUUGUGUGUUUUGCUCUCCAACAGUUGCUGAACACUUCAUUUUAGUCCACCAAUUCCUCAGCUAGUGACACAGCCCAGUCAGGGUCACAGGCCCAAAAUGUAUUCCACCUCUAUGCUCACCUGUCUCUUAAGCAGGGAAAUUAAAAUUCAUUGUCAAAAUAAGCAGAGAUUUUGCAGAUUGAAACAAGAGAGGAAUAGCACUUCUCUCUCUUGUGUCUUCUACAGUGUAACACAGCAGAGAAAGUAAAGCCCAGGGAAAAACAAAUUAGAGUGACCCCAAUGUCCUGAAGACAAUAUUUUCAAGCUUCAUCAUUGAAAUAAAGAUUUGAGAAAUCACCAAUCAACAGCUCAAAUCCACCAGAAGCAGAACGUCAAGUUUGGGCCCACAUGCAGAUUCUCACAUGAGGCUUUCACAUGGUAAACAGCCAAUGUUUGAAAAGGCACACAGCAGAAAUUGUUGGAAGAAACAUUAGCUGGGAGGGCAGGCCCAUUGCCUUAGCUCUCCAAGGCAGACUGAAACAAUAGCAAGUGACACAGAUGAAUUUUCACCUUGUCUACCGGUACUGCCACAGAAAGGAUGUAAUGCAAUCUCCUGAGAAGUCCAUUGUCCUCAUGGCACUGUGUGAAAUCUGUGACAAUGUCAGAACUUGGUCAUAGCUCCACGUUCUCUGCCAGAAACAUAAGCAUGCUUCGAGUGCAUUAUUCUUUUAGAGGGGGGCCUCGAAAAGUUCAGCUGUAGGAUUUUCUCAUCAGCUUAAUUUUUCCAUGUUCUGUUUCGUUUCUGGUAUUUUCCCACUUAUGUUAUUUGCUUGCUGAAGCUGCUCCAUUCAUGGAGUUCAGUAAAUGGUGUUUGCCAUCAGAACAAUUUGAUUCUAGUUCUAAUUAUAACAACAAGCUGCUUUCUUCAAACAUAAUAUGGGUGUUUCAUUAUUUUAAAUUGUUAUCUUCCAUAUUAAUUACAGAAACAGUUGAUCUUUUCUGAGAAACCAGCAGCUGCAAAUUCCCCCCUUUUUAAAUGUCUCAUUUUAAUAGGUGAAACAUCAGGUAAAAAUUAAAUCAGAUUGUAUCAUAAUUCUCCAGAAGAAGAUAUGUAAGUUACAACACAUUGCCUCCAUAUUCCAUAGGGUUACACUAUUCAGGUGUAUUCAACCAUGUAGCUUAGUAUAGAUCACACAGCUCAGUUGCAGACACAGUGCCCCUAAAUAAAUCACACAGCAAUGGCAACAUUACUAAUGAGACUAUCAGAAUCAAAGGAAGCAGGGUGAUGCAUCUGAGUAGAGCCUACAUCAUUAUUCUGCAUGAUUUGUUUAUGGUAUUGUUGGUGAGUCGUGUUUCUCCCCCCUCCUUUCCUAGUCCAUCUGGAUUAAAAAUGGGAACUAGAAGAACUGAAGUCCUGGAAUAGCCUGUACACAACAGUCCUGCAGUCAUAAGGAGGGGUGGUCUGGUGCUUCUUGCAAGGCAUCUGAUUACACAAACUCACUUAUCAUCUGUACUCUGCAGCAGUUCAAGAACUGAACUUCUGACAGUUUUCUUCUGUCACGUAUUUGUAGCUACUGAUCUCCAUGAUCCCUGAAAGAAGUAUAACUCAGUUACUGAGCCUGCUGACACUCAUGUCAUACUUUUUUCCAUCCUCACUCAAAGCAGUGAUCGAAAUUUAUUCCUAUUUUGUGAAGUACAGAGUAACGAAUUUCCAAUACUAGUGGCUUUUUCUCCACAAUAGAACUCCACAUUUCUGAAAGGGAAAGUUAAUGUUGGAGAUGAGAAUAUGCUACCAGCAAAGCUAAGUUAUUUAGCAUUUCUACAGUAUUUAAAAUUUCUUCAGAUAAAAUAUGAGAAUUAUAUUUAAAAAAAAAAAGAAGAAGAAGAAGAAGAAGAAAAAGACAAACAAACACAGAACAGUUUUCUAAAGAUGAUAUGUAAGCUGCACAACACUGAGAUUCUCCUUGGACAUAAAUUGCUGACAACAUGUCAAAUCUUUUCCACAACUGGGAUACAUUUACAUUGUUUUAAACAUGGAGUUACUUCUUUGCUGUUUAGGAUUUGGCCAAAUUUAAACAUGCUUGGAAGACAGAGACUUAACUUCUCAAAUAAUUUAUUGAUUGCCGAUAGAAACAUUUUUUCUUAAAUUGUGCAAAUAAGAGCUAGAUAACAUUGAGAAUAGGAGCUUUCAAAACCUCUGCACUGAUCACAUCUGACAAACAAGAUAGGAAAAAAAUAUUAAAAAAAAAAAAAGAAAAAGAAAAGAGUUUAAAAGAAGAGUGAUAACAACACAACAAAACAGCAAAACAAAACAACACAGAAAAAACAACUCAAAACACAACCCAAACCUAGAGCUUAACCAAAUAAUUCAAUGUUCUUCCCCAAAACCAAUGGAGAGAGGAAUAUAAAUCAUGAAUUUAUAAUAAAAAAAAAAUGAUUUUUUUUUCCUAAAUCAAUGGUACUCCUAAACACGCUUCAAACAAUAAAGUAAGACUUUGCAGUGAUGAGUAGUUCAAAACAAUUCUUCAACCAGAUGGUUACAACUGUGGUUUUCUGUACUCCCCUUUCAUUUUCCCUUUCUUACAUGUCCCUCCCACUUUGCAUCAUACCAAUUAAUAUCUUUCCUUCCCUAACAGCCCUCUAGAUAAUUCACAGAGGCAUUUUUCUGUGUGGCCUAGCAUUAAACAGAAACUAUUAAACAGUCAACUCCUAUUUCUUCUAUAGAAUUAAUGUCAUGUUAACUCACAGAAUGCCUUGCUGUUUAAUCACACAUGAAUGAGGUAUUUUAAAGAAGUUGUAAGGUAUUUCAGCCACACCCUAAGAACAUUCCGCUGAUUUAAACCAGGAUGCACUAAACCUGUUUUAGAUACAGUAUAGGAACACUACUUUUAAUUGCUAAUUUUUGCCUUACAAAUCUAAGUAGAAAUAACAAGGAAAAUAUAAUGCUCUUUAAAACAGAAAAAUUGAGUUGAAGUUUUGUGCAAUUUGAUGCCUUGCUGGCAUUUUAGGACUUACUAUUAAAACUCACAUGAAAGUAACCUGAAGGAAAGUUCUCUGGAAGGACAAAGGAAUCAAAUUGUGUCUUUGAUGCUUAUAGACAUAUUCUGGAGUGAUUUUAUAUUGAAUCCCACUUCCAUGAGAACUAUGUGGUUUUAUUCAUGGAGGUGUAAGCACCUGAGCACUCAUCUCUAUGAGUAACAAUAUUCAGAGUUCCAUUGUAUUCUAUUAUAUUAUGACUAGCAGCCUCCAAAUCUGCACUGAAGUAGUUUGAUGCAUUAUCAGCAUUUUGAUCCAACCAUAGCUCAUUAUCUGUGGUCUUACUACUGAUGUGUCUCCAGUCAUGACUCAGAACGGCAGUGCUGGGGCCCAUGUGACCAGAUCCCCUUUCAUCUCCGGGGCUCCAUUUUCUUUAUAAAACAAAGAGGUGCCAUCACAAAUGUACUUUUUGGCAUUUCCCUGUCAGCCAGAAUCAACCUGCUAACUGAUAGGUGUGCUGUGUCUCCUAGAGGGUCUAGAUGUGCAUAUGUGGUUGCAUCCAUGCUCAGAAACAAGGUGCUUAAUCAUGGCAAAGUACAGGGACAUUAAAACCCAUCCAGUUCCAACCCCCUGCCAUGGUCUGGCUGCCCCCCAACAGACUGGGGCCCAGGGCCCCAUCCCACCCAGCCUUGAACGCUUCUAGAGGUGAGGUACCUACAGCUUCUCUGGCAGCCUGUCCCAGCACCUCACCAUUCUCUGAGUAAAGAAUUUUUUGGUAACAUCUAACCUAAAUUUCCACUAUUUUAGUUUAAAGCCAUUCCCCCUUCUUCUAUCACUCUUAUACAGUGUUUCAGUGCUAAACAUAUUAAUUACAUAUCCCCAGAAAUUUUUGAACUGCAGCAGUCAGGCUGGAAGGGAACAGUCACAGCAGCAGCACUUUUAGUCCCAUGGAGGAAAGAUUCCAGAUCUCAAAUGCCAGAAUUCAUGUGUGCAGAGAGCACCAAGAAGUGCUGCAGAGAGCACCAAGAGCCAACAGGAACGAUGGUGCCUUUUAAUCUUGGUAAUAAAUGAGCAAAUGCAGCAAAGUAGAAUUUAUCUGUUAGCACUGACAGUUGUUAAAGACCAUGUAACUGUCUGUAAUGUAUAUAGAAUUAUUGACAUCAGAUGUGUUUAUAUUUAGGUUAAACAACUAUAUUGUUUUUAUAAGAGAAAACUGUUUCUGAAAACAAUAGGCCAAAUUGCUUUUUCUUGCUAAGAACAAUGAUGCAAUUCUGCCAGUACCAACAAUUUUUAUUACAGAAUCAGCUAACUGAAAACACAAGGCUCUUUAACAACAUGUAUCUUACAAAGCACUCCAGUGCAUGCUGAUGCUGUUUUGCUUUGUUUGCCAGUCAAGAUGGGUAAAAGCAAUUUGUAUUUUGCAUUUUGCUUGUUAUUUCACUUUUCCUUUGUGUGGUUCCUCUUGCUUUCCUUUCUUUUCAUGCAGGCAAGCUCCAUUUCUUCUAAAUUUUUCACUAUCAAAACUACUUCGAUGAAAUCAGAGUCAGCUGAAGAGAAAAAGGCAAAUCCUUCCGGGAUGAGGAAGAAACAGAAGGAAAAGAGAAGAGAAUUGAGAUGGAAAAUACAUUCUUGUCUCCAGAAAUAAGCAAGGCUCCCCAGAAUUUGGAGAUUAUGCAGUCACAGUUACCACAGCAAACGUAUUCUGAGCCGUGUCUUGGACCAUCCCAUUAAAGAUUUUCAAAUACACAACUAUAGGACUGCUUGCAAGAGGGCUGCAUAUUUGAAAUUUGUUUAAAUGCUAGUGUUAUGGAAAGCAUAAUCGGUACAGAUAUACCAAAACUGAGUCUGUAAAACAGAAAAUAAACCUUGCCAUUUGCCAUUUAGAGGCAGUUUAAAACAAGGUCUUUGACUUUGGACUGUACCUGGCAGGUUAGAGAUUCACUAGAUGUGCAGAAGAUGCAGCAAACUGAGAUCAUAGACUAAUGAUUUAGAUUUAAGAUUUAAACUAUAUCUCAUUGUCAUUGAGAUAACAUAAUAACUGAAUUAAAAAAAAAAAAAAACUGGCUUUUGUCAGUGCAAAAAUUAAGCUCUUGUGCUUGCCUCAGUAAUGAAAUAUACAACAUCUCUUGUUGUCCUUACCUUUGAACUGCAGAUAACUGUACAGCAAUGUUACAGGACAGAGAUACACUUGUGAAAUAUUCACGAGCUGAUGUCUUUGCAGCCCCACGGGACCAGUGAAGAGCUCUUUUUUCCCCCACAUCUCUCUCUCAGACUUUAAAUAAUGAGGAGCAGAAAAGGUAUGAGACAACAUGUCUGUGUGUCUCCUUUGAAAUCUUUUCUUACAUUACCUUGUUAUCUGUGCUCAAGAGCAGCAGGUAUUCCAGCAGUUCAGAGUGUAUCCACAGCAAAAACACCCAGCAAAAUAGACUACCAGUCGACACAGCUUUCAGUUCCUGGUCCAGUCGGCAAAACACAAAACUAAUACAUAGGGGAGUGCCAGCCUGGCUGAGGCUAGAGGGGAGUGAAGGCAGAAUUUUUGCCAACCAGUGAUUUAGGAAAAUAUAUAUUAUUCAUCCUGGAAAACAACCUAAUGCACUGUUUCCUACUCUGUGCUCUGAAAGUGCCUUCAUAUGGAAAGCUAUUAAACUUCUAUAUGUUUUUAGCAUUACAGCGUGGAUCAAAGCCUGACCACCCCAGGCAGAUGAGAGUGUCAGAUCCCUCCACCAGUCAGGAGGAUUUGGAUCAGUGUUUUCACUUUAGCCGUCAGUGGUGAAGAAAUCCAUCCAGACCUGAAUUUGGAGUUUUUCCUAUGCUACAGUACUGUGCAUUGGGAAAGACCAUCCUGAACUUACUAUGGGUGGAAUUCCACUUGUUUCUACCACUCUAAGUCAGGCUGGAGCAUGGACAAGAAUUAAAUCAGACCAGACUUAUCAGGGGAAUUCACCUUGUCAUCAAGGCAAACGUAACACUUUUUUUUUUUUUUUUUUUUUUUGAGGAGGCAUCACAUUUUAAAUUUCAAGUGCUGUAAGUCUUCUAACCCCCUUUUUUUAUUCCUUCUGUGAUACAAAAAUGCUUAUAUAACAGGUAUUUUCCCACACCAGCCUUAAAAGCCCUUAUUUCCUUUCUUUUUUUAUUUCAACAGACUAAUAGUCAUUGCAACACAGGUGACAGUAAAUCAAAUCAAGUUGAAAUGUCGGCCUGACUCAUUCUCAGACGAUAUAUGAUUUGUUUGCAUUGCAUUAUCUUGGAAACCCAUAGCCAGUGUGCACUAACUACAUGUCUGCACAUGGCAAGAAGAUAAACACCCUUAGCCAGUAAUAUAAAAUCUAAAUAAAAUUACAAUCAGGUUUGUAUACUAGGAUAGCUUUGUAACACCCAUGGGGCAUUACUCUUAUCAUUAGAAUUAUUUGCAUUAGAGCAGUGUCCAAAGAUCCUGCCUAUGAUCAGGUUCAAAUUGUGCUAGGCUCUGGAAAACAUGGGAAGAGACAAAAAUUCUGAAUGUUAAAUAGAUAAUUACAUGCAAAGGGUGUGAGAAAGAAAGGAUGGCUAUCAUUAUUUUGUAGAGAACUUAGGUGUGGAGAUUACAUUUUUGCUACAUUCUAAGCAUAGGUGCAAAGCAAUGCUGAAGUACAAGUCUGAUUUGCAUGUUCUUUGCACACCAUAACAUGUGUAGGUUACCACGGCUUUGUGGAAAUACUGAUAACAGUGGGAGAGAAAGCUUGAGUCUUCCAUCUCCAGCCACACACAUGGGCAGCUGGAAACGGGUGGCUAGGCUUUUCGCCUGAGGCAACAGCCACGCAUCCUGUCAUGCUGUCCUCUGACACUAUUUGAGUGCUGAUCAGACACGCCUGCCCAAGUUGUUCCCAUAAAGGCUUAGAGCCCUGCAACACAGGAUAGAUGGGCAGGAGAGUUACAGGAACGCCAAGCCCAGAGUCAGAUACCUGAAUGGAUGCCCAGACAACAUGAGUGGGUUUUUUGUUUAUUUUUUCUUUUUCCUCUCUUGGGCAGACCACAUGUUUUCUGUAAAGUCAUAAAAAAAUCUAAGUGGUGCUAAGAACCAGUCACCUCACUCCAGUUUGGCAUUUGCAAAUUCACCAUUCCUCUCUAAGGUAACAGCUGCUGGAACUACACCAGCAACUUCUUCAAAAAACAGGACAAGUGGUCUUUCAGUGGUGAAAGAUCUGCUGAACUCAAAGGAAGCUGCAUCUGGAGUAACAUUUCAAUGUAUACGCUGUGCAUGCUUACAAGUUUUAUGAUUACAGAAACAGCCAGCACAAUGCUGGGCUGACGAAAGAGGGGGUGGAUGUUUAGAUGCUGCUGUUUCACUUCAUGUUGGCAGGGAUAUGGAAAUUAUGAAGUGAUAAGGAGAGAUGUAAGAGGGAGGAGAAGGCAUGAGUGAUUGAUUAUGUGCUUAAUUAAGCAAUGUUGGCCACAUCAAGUUGUAGUGAAGUCUCUGUACAUCUGUAGCAUGCUUUUAGUCCCAGGCAAUAAAUUGGCUACCUGCCUCUGAAUGGACAGUGAGGGGAAAAUACUUUUGAAGGUAGAAAUGUUGGCUAUCCAGAAGCGAUGGAUGGUUACUUACUAUUUUUUUUUGUCUUUGAAGACUGUAUAUUAUCAGUUAACAUAAUGAACUCACCAAGUGGUCCAGUAACCCACGGAAGUAAUUCUACUUAGAUCACUGAAAUAAAAGGCAGGAGCAAGGCUUUCAGACUUAGGCCUCAAACAAAAACUAACAUUCAAGGAUAGCAAGCUUUUCCUCCUGUUUAAGCUCCUUUAAUAAAAAUGCAAAUAUUGCUUUCUUAACCACAAUAGGAACUCUAGUCAUUAUUUUUCAAUACUAAUGUUAGUGUUUUCCUAUAACUUCUGUUGUGCUGUAAUUCUAGAGGCCCAUGUCUAAUCCCAUAUGUAAUGUGUUUAUUAGAUGUAAUAUUUUAUCUCUUGGAUACAGUUUCUGACACUAUCAUUUUGUUCUUAUUUCAAUAAAACUGAUUUCCUUCCUUCUCACCCUGACAGGAUGCAUUGAAUUUCUUUAUCACAGAAGAAAGUUAGAAAGGUUCUCCCAUAAAAGACAAAAAUGGACUGCAUGUAGUGUGGCUUAAUUUAAUUUAUCUCAUAAAGUCCAGACCAAAUAAAGUAACUUUAUAAUAUUAGAUACGGCCAGAAUUGAGCUGGGAUUCUUUUGUUGUUGUUGUUUGUUUUUAAUAUAUGGUUAUCUAGUCUCAGUAAAUCUGUAGCUCAUUGGCUUCACCACCUGUAUCCUUCUGAACACAGAAUGAAACAGUACCAAAUGCUCAUGCAAUUUCUGAUUUUCUUUGGGAAUUCACUAUCUGUGUGCUUUAAUCAAGUGAUAAUAUGUAGGAACCAUUCCAGCUUUCAGCUGACAAAAGCACAAUAUUAGUUGUUUGAUGAGAACUCCUCUAUGGAUACAAAUUCCACAUGGAUUUUCCCAGGCUUUGUAAAUUUAUUAAAAAAUAAUAUAUUCUAUACACAAUUAGAACAUGAAUGUUAAAAGAGUAAGUAAAGUAAUUUGUUGGGAAUGUGAAAUCAUCUAGAAAAGAAAGAUGUUUUCGUAUAAUUUUAGCUGUCACAUAAUAAUUUGCAAAACACAGAAGGCAUUUGAAACCUUUGGUAUCCAGAUCCAGAUUCCCAGUAGAAAAGUAUUCCUUUCAGGCUACCUUCUGGAAUAAAGGUCUUCUUUAUCUCCUUUAUCAUAUUGGUAGUGUUUCACUAAACAGACAGUCAGAAGCUGCUGUUGAAUAGGGAAGCUGGAAAACGCUCAUCUUAUUUCAUAUUCAUUUUCCACACCUUGUCAACAACUGCACAGCUCACCACUGAAGCUGCAUUUCAUGCAAUGCAUCCAAAGGUUACAACUUAUAGGUCAGAGAUGGGAAUUUUCACUUCGCAAUCACUGGGCAGCUGAGACUCCAUACAUUACUGUGGUGACAGGUAUAGUACGCAGUGAUGAACCUUCUGUCAGUCAGACAGAGGUCACAUUGGUAUCAGUUACUAACAUACCCCUCUCCUAGCUUAAAAAAAAAAAAAAAAAAAAAAAAAAAAGGAAAAUUAAAAAAAGUCUAUUUUUUUUCUUCUUGUGGAAAAUGGAAACAGAGUUGAUGUUCACUAAUGUCAAGUGGCAGGAGAUUUAGAGCCCCAGAGCUCAGGAGGUCUCCUGUAGCUGUGCUGGCAGUACUUUCAGCACCAACAUAAAUCGCCGCCUGAACUGAAACCCACAAAAGCUGUUCCAGAAGAAACUACAACAGCCACGUAAACAUGUACUGGACAGGAAACAAUGAACUCCAACCUGGUACUGGAGAAUCCAAAAUAAGAGCAUGUCAACUUCCUGGUCAUAGCUAUUUUAUUUUUUUUCGUAUUUAGCAUCACUUACACAAAAACAGUUAAAAAUUAUUACCUUAGCAGACAGUCAGAUUUUUAGUUUUUGUAAUGAGGUGGCUGAAUCUCACAUUAAAGAGGAAGCUGUAACACAAAUAAGAGGAAGUGAAUAAGUACUUAAGAUGUACCUUCAACUCCGUAAUUUUAACGCUUUCAUGAAGAGAUCAGAAUACAAAAUCUAUCAUCAUUAAUUAUAUCCUGUUAUACCAUCCUUGUGUUCUUUGCCAAAUAAAUGCCAUAACACAUCAGAUAACAACAGAAUAUUUACAUUACAAAGGUUAAAGGAUCAUGCUAUCUGUAGCUAGGUCAAAGUAUUUUGGUCAACUGCAAUAAAAUUUUGUCUGAAGGUCCCCAGAGGUUAAUGCGAUCACUGAACUUCACAGUCAGUUUAUGAAUAAGACCUUAAAAGAAUAUUCCUAAGUUCCUGCAUUUUCCUACUUGUGGUACUUGAACAUCCACAAGCAAAUACUGGCCUUCCUAAACAAGACAGUUGGAUGACACAUUUUUUUUGUGUCAAAAAGGAAGCCCUUCUUCCCCUCAAAAAAAAAGAAAAAAAAAAAAAACCUAGCAUAAAGCAGACUCUAUACACAUGGAAUAAAUUGAUUUUACCAAGGCUAAAUUUGUCUAGUGGAGCCUAUACUUGAGAUCAUUCAAGCGCUCUCUUGAGUUAUCUCAUUGUAGCAGAGUUUGCAGGACAGGGCCUUGAAUUUGUUUCUGCCAUACAAAGUUGAUAUAUAAGAAGACAGGAUUUAAUUGAAACAUCUUGAAAGAG
This 30802-nucleotide long non-coding RNA is filed under the name Gallus gallus (chicken). RNAcentral describes it as "lncRNA (ENSGALG00010018407.1)". The record is from RNAcentral. Lineage: Eukaryota; Metazoa; Chordata; Aves; Galliformes; Phasianidae.